UGCUAAACCCGAUUGCAGCGAUAUCCUUUUUGGCUGUCACCCUGAGCGAAGUCGAAGGGUAGCCAAAAAGAUAAAGCGUAAAGCGGGACUGCAA
Molecule: small RNA, 94 nt
Filed under: Pedobacter alluvionis
Lineage: Bacteria; Pseudomonadati; Bacteroidota; Sphingobacteriia; Sphingobacteriales; Sphingobacteriaceae
Description: Flavo-1 RNA
Rfam family: Flavo-1 RNA
Source: RNAcentral